AUUGAACGCUGGCGGCAUGCCUUACACAUGCAAGUCGAACGGCAGCACAGGAGAGCUUGCUCUCUGGGUGGCGAGUGGCGGACGGGUGAGGAAUACAUCGGAAUCUACUUUUUCGUGGGGGAUAACGUAGGGAAACUUACGCUAAUACCGCAUACGACCUACGGGUGAAAGCAGGGGAUCUUCGGACCUUGCGCGAUUGAAUGAGCCGAUGUCGGAUUAGCUAGUUGGCGGGGUAAAGGCCCACCAAGGCGACGAUCCGUAGCUGGUCUGAGAGGAUGAUCAGCCACACUGGAACUGAGACACGGUCCAGACUCCUACGGGAGGCAGCAGUGGGGAAUAUUGGACAAUGGGCGCAAGCCUGAUCCAGCCAUACCGCGUGGGUGAAGAAGGCCUUCGGGUUGUAAAGCCCUUUUGUUGGGAAAGAAAUCCAGCUGGUUAAUACCCGGUUGGGAUGACGGUACCCAAAGAAUAAGCACCGGCUAACUUCGUGCCAGCCGCCGCCGUAA
Molecule: ribosomal RNA, 506 nt
Filed under: uncultured bacterium
Lineage: Bacteria
Description: partial 16S ribosomal RNA
Rfam family: Bacterial small subunit ribosomal RNA
Source: RNAcentral